UUUAAGUGUGACCAUAAAUUCCCGUGUUUAAAUCUGAUCAUCCGUUUUAUUUGAAUUUUUUUAUUAUUAGUAUUUUUUAUUGUUAUUAUAUGAUAAAGUAUAAAUAUUAUUUUAUGCGUGACUUAUAUUUUUAAUUGUUUAAAAAUUUUAAAUAAGAUAAACGAUUAAAAUUAGACAUGAAAAUUUUAUAAGUGCGUUUAAA
Molecule: non-coding RNA, 202 nt
Organism: Oryza meridionalis
Lineage: Eukaryota; Viridiplantae; Streptophyta; Magnoliopsida; Poales; Poaceae
Source: Rfam